Colias croceus (clouded yellow) is the source of this 558-nucleotide long non-coding RNA. RefSeq lists it as uncharacterized. The transcript is spliced from 3 exons. Lineage: Eukaryota; Metazoa; Arthropoda; Insecta; Lepidoptera; Pieridae. The record is from RefSeq and is a predicted model, not a curated record.
UGUUGGUUUUAGUGUCUUGUGCUGUACUGCUGCCCGCUGGCCAGGCGUACACAUGCUCAUAUGGGAGUUACGGUAACUUGCCAGGAGUAGAAAUCGGCGCAAAAAUCGAUUUACCCACAGUCUACAUACCGAAGCAUCAAACCCACACCGUUCUGGACAUUAAAAAUAAUUAUGGUGACAACUGCACGCCCAUCGGUAUACAAGUAAGCAAUUGCGAGCUGGGCGACGACUCUCCCAUCUCCGUGGUGGAGGUGACUUCUCCUGUUGACGUGAAGAUCGUCCGAUUUAGCAGCACCAGAGGCUCCUUUGCUAGGGCCACCGUGCUUUGUCAGAAAAACUGUCCUUAAAUAGAUUAUAAUUGGACUUCUUCACAAUGGGCAGCGUUGGUCUAACUAUAACAAAUGAUCGUGGAUGGUUACCGCAAUUACGGCGAUUAUGAAUAAACAUCUACAUUGACGGCCGAUCAUAGACAUUUAGACUCUAUACACUAUCGUAAAUGCAUCUACUCGCCCAACUCUGUCCAUUGUGAAGAGGGCCCAUUAGGUAAGACAUACAUUA